RNAcentral lists this ribosomal RNA (490 nucleotides) under uncultured bacterium. RNAcentral describes it as "bacterial SSU rRNA". It matches the Rfam family "Bacterial small subunit ribosomal RNA", at positions 28 to 518 of the family's 1533-position model. The record is from RNAcentral.
GAUGAACGCUAGCGGCAGGCUUAACACAUGCAAGUCGAGGGGUAUUGGUUUUCGGACCAAGAGACCGGCGCACGGGUGCGUAACGCGUAUGCAAUCUACCUUUUGCAGAGGGAUAGCCCCAGAGAAAUUUGGAUUAAUACCUCAUAGUAUAGUACUUUGGCAUCAAGGAACUAUUAAAGUCACAACGGCGAAAGAUGAGCAUGCGUCCAUUAGCUAGUUGGUAAGGUAACGGCUUACCAAGGCUACGAUGGGUAGGGGUCCUGAGAGGGAGAUCCCCCACACUGGUACUGAGACACGGACCAGACUCCUACGGGAGGCAGCAGUGAGGAAUAUUGGACAAUGGCGCAAGCCUGAUCCAGCCAUGCCGCGUGCAGGAUGACGGUCCUAUGGAUUGUAAACUGCUUUUAUACAGGAAGAAACACUCCGACGUGUCGGAGCUUGACGGUACUGUAAGAAUAAAGGAUCGGCUAACUCCGUGCCAGCAGCCGAC